UACGGGGGGGGGCAAGCGUUGUUCGGAAUUACUGGGCGUAAAGGGCUCGUAGGUGGCCAACUAAGUCAGACGUGAAAUCCCUCGGCUUAACCGGGGAACUGCGUCUGAUACUGGAUGGCUUGAGUUUGGGAGAGGGACGCGGAAUUCCAGGUGUAGCGGUGAAAUGCGUAGAUAUCUGGAGGAACACCGGUGGCGAAGGCGGCGUCCUGGACCAACACUGACACUGAGGAGCGAAAGCCAGGGGAGCAAACGGG
This 254-nucleotide ribosomal RNA is filed under the name uncultured bacterium. Its description in RNAcentral is "partial 16S ribosomal RNA". It matches the Rfam family "Bacterial small subunit ribosomal RNA", at positions 524 to 776 of the family's 1533-position model. The record is from RNAcentral.